GCACCUGUAGCCUAGUCGUACGACGCUGGACUGGAAAUCCAGUGCAUGAAAAUGCUCGGGGGUUCAAAUCCCCUCGGGUGCG
This 82-nucleotide transfer RNA is filed under the name Promethearchaeota archaeon. RNAcentral describes it as "tRNA-Ser". It matches the Rfam family "tRNA". Rfam says of the family: Transfer RNA (tRNA) molecules are approximately 80 nucleotides in length. Their secondary structure includes four short double-helical elements and three loops (D, anti-codon, and T loops). The record is from RNAcentral. Lineage: Archaea; Promethearchaeati; Promethearchaeota. RNAcentral also lists the same sequence under 1 other name.